This 253-nucleotide ribosomal RNA is filed under the name uncultured Eubacteriales bacterium. Its description in RNAcentral is "uncultured Clostridiales bacterium partial 16S ribosomal RNA". It matches the Rfam family "Bacterial small subunit ribosomal RNA", at positions 524 to 776 of the family's 1533-position model. The record is from RNAcentral. Lineage: Bacteria; Bacillati; Bacillota; Clostridia; Eubacteriales.
UACGUAGGGGGCAAGCGUUAUCCGGAUUUACUGGGUGUAAAGGGAGCGUAGGCGGCUUAGUAAGUCAGAAGUGAAAGCCCGCAGCUCAACUGCGGGACUGCUUUUGAAACUGCCAGGCUAGAGUGUCGGAGAGGUAAGUGGAAUUCCUAGUGUAGCGGUGAAAUGCAUAGAUAUCACGCAGAACUCCGAUUGCGAAGGCAGCUUACUAAGCCAUAACUGACACUGAAGCACGAAAGCGUGGGGAUCAAACAGG